UAGUUAAAUGCAAGAAAAUGAUAAUAUUUGGUUAUGGAUCAAAAUGCAGAAAGGCUUGCAAGCAAAACUCUUAUGUGGAGGGAAUAGGGAGGUUAGGUCUUUUUAGUUCUGAUGAUUGGAGUCCACUACAAGAUGAUCCCCAACCCUUAUAGACUACAGAGGAAUUCUUCACACUAUCUCGUACUGUACUGCUUAGAUUUAAUCUAAAAGCGUUUACAAUGGCAUUGGGAUUUUCAAGCUGACGACUGGAUAUAUGCUUUGACAGUGAGGAAACAAAAAACAGAUAGUUAAAGAGAAACAUUUAAGAUUUUGCAAUUGCAAACAUUGGUAAUUUCAACUGUACAUGCUUGAUCAAUUGCAAAUAUUAGUAUAUUCUUAUCCAUGUCAAACUGAAGUCAUUUGCAUUUUUCUAUUACAAUCCAAUCAAUUUCAAGGGAUGUCAUCAUAAGAUCAUUCAACUGUAGUCCAGCUAGAGAAAUUGAACCAUCUGCAAAACAGCAUUUUAUGUCAGAGGUUUAUCUAGCAGUGAGAAUGCACCACCAAGAAAACUCUGCACACAUUGAUGGAUUGAUGAGGUUCUUACUAAAGCAAGGCAUUUUGCUUCACGUAUCUCAGGUAGUUUCUCAUUAUUUGACCUUUGUAAUCUUUUGGAGGGGCUUGAUUAUUCGAUUGCUUGCUAGUUUGCGCAACUAUAACUUUGGCACAUACAUUAUUUUCUUAAUGACUUAAUCUUUUCGAGGUAUAAAGAGAAGUUAAUUAAGAGUGGACGUGUCCCUGAAUUCCAUUCCAUGGAAACACUGGGGAUGACCCUAAAUGGCUUGUAAACAUUGAACAGGAUGCUAUGGGAGUUUGUGAUCAUGAGCCGUCACGCGAGGAAGUUUGACACCAGAUUGUUUCGUUGGUUAUAUAUUUGUACCUAGGAAGGAAAAUAUUUAAGGCAACUAAAUAGUGGUGAAAUUGAUACUUACAUCAUUCAUCAUCAGGAUUGUGAUGAUAUUGUUUGUGGCUAGUACCCAAGACUGUUCUGUUAUGCCAUCUAGAAAUAAAUUUUCCGCACCAGCACUUUCCACUGAACUGAGUGAAUGUGCAAUGAUCUUCAGAGACAUUUGAAAGCUGUUCUUUCUGUGAUUCAUCUUGCUGUCCCUACCGGAUCCUCCUCUGCUCUUCUAUCCCCAAAGUUCACUUGGUGAUGUGGUGCUGAAAACCUAUACAGCAAUUGCACAAUACAUGCGUAGAGGUGAAACUAAAUUGGAAAGCAAAGCUACAUCUUCGUUUGGGAAUUCUUUUUAUGCCUAUCUCACUCUAGUAUGGUGGUAAACCUCAAACUGCGGAAAACCAAAGUUGUUCUGCCAGACUCCUUUAUGAGUAAACUGAUCUCUUCUCUUGAGGCCUCUGUUGUGUUCCUAGAGAGGAAAUUAUGAACCCAGCUAUCACUCAAUUGGACAUAAAAUUAGACAAAGUACGUUGCUGGCUACGUCUCAUCUCAUAGUCUGUAGUUUGCUGUGGAAUUAAUCAAAGCAGAAGAUUUCUGCGUUGGUUCAGCCUGUGAACCAUUAAUUAUUUGCUUAGGUCAUCAAAUGCUUUGUAAAUAGAUGAUUUUGUGAUGUGGAUGAAGAGCAUCCUGAUUGAUUUGCUUGACCACCCACAGGUCCAGGCUGAUUAUUUCUGUUGUAUAUCUUAUGAAUAACUUAAUAAAGUUUGAGGUAUUUCAUGAAAAAAUGAAAAGAAGGCUUUUUCUUUA
Long non-coding RNA from Rosa rugosa (rugosa rose), 1741 nucleotides. RefSeq lists it as uncharacterized. The record is from RefSeq and is a predicted model, not a curated record. Lineage: Eukaryota; Viridiplantae; Streptophyta; Magnoliopsida; Rosales; Rosaceae. The transcript has 7 exons.